Molecule: ribosomal RNA, 2147 nt
Filed under: metagenome
Description: bacterial LSU rRNA
Rfam family: Bacterial large subunit ribosomal RNA
Source: RNAcentral
CCCGUUGCAAAGGUAGGGGAUGAGGUGUGAUUAGGAGUGAAAAGCUAAUCGAACCCGGAGAUAGCUGGUUCUCCCCGAAAGCUAUUUAGGUAGCGCCUCAUGUGAAUCUUCUUGGGGGUAGAGCACUGUUAUGGCUAGGGGGACAUGGCGUCUUACCAAACCAUGGCAAACUCCGAAUACUUGGAAGUAAGAGCACGGGAGACAGAGCACCGGGUGCUAACGUCCGGACUCAAGAGGGAAACAACCCAGACCGCCGUUUAAGGUCCCAAAUAUUGACUAAGUGGAAAACGAAGUGUGAAGGCUAAGACAGUCAGGAAGUUGGCUUAGAAGCAGCCAUCCUUCAAAGAAAGCGUAAUAGCUCACUGAUCGAGUCCUCAUGCGCGGAAGAUGUAACGGGGCUAAGUCAAUAACCGAAAGCGCGGAUUUGCACGAUGAGUGCAAGUGGUAGGGGAGCGUUCUGUAAGCCUGCGAAGGUGGUUCGAGAGGACUGCUGGAGGUAUCAGAAGUGCGAAUGCUGACAUGAGUAACGUUAAAGCGGGUGAAAAGCCCGCUCGCCGUAAGCCCAAGGUUUCCUGCUCUACGUUCAUCGGAGCAGGGUGAGUCGGCCCCUAAGGCCAGGCUGAGAAGCGUAGUCGAUGGGAAGCAGAUUAAUAUUUCUGCACCAUGUGCAAGUGCGAUGGGGGGACGGAGUGCGAAAGAUCAUCCGGGUGUUGGAUGUCCCGGUUUGUGAGUGUAGAAGGCCGACAGGCAAAUCCGUCGGCAGAUCUUCGAGACAAAGCAUCGAGGUUCUACGGAACCGAAGUGAUCGGAAGUGCUUCCAGGAAAAGCCUCUAAGCUCCAGCUUGCAUAUGACCGUACCGUAAACCGACACUGGUGGGCGAGUUGAAUAUACUCAGGCGCUUGAGAGAACUCGGGAGAAGGAACUCGGCAAAUUGACACCGUAACUUCGGGAUAAGGUGUGCCUUUGUAGCGUGAAGAGAGAAACACUCGGAGCGUGAAGAGGCCUCAGAGAAUCGGUGGCUGCAACUGUUUAUUAAAAACACAGCACUCUGCAAAGACGAAAGUCGACGUAUAGGGUGUGAUGCCUGCCCGGUGCUGGAAGAUUAAGUGAUGGGGUGAGAGCUCCUGAUCGAAGUCCCAGUAAACGGCGGCCGUAACUAUAACGGUCCUAAGGUAGCGAAAUUCCUUGUCGGGUAAGUUCCGACCUGCACGAAUGGCAUAAUGAUGGCCACACUGUCUCCUCCCGAGACUCAGUGAAGUUGAAAUGUUUGUGAUGAUGCAAUCUCCCCGCGGCUAGACGGAAAGACCCCAUGAACCUUUACUGUAGCUUUGCAUUGGACUUUGAACCGAUUUGUGUAGGAUAGGCGGGAGGCAGAGAAAGCGCAACGCCAGUUGUGCCGGAGCCGACGUUGAAAUACCGCCCUGAUUUGUUUGAGGUUCUAACCGCGACCCGUGAGCCGGGUUCGGGACCGUGCAUGGCAGGCAGUUUGACUGGGGCGGUCUCCUCCUAAAGGGUAACGGAGGAGUACAAAGGUACGCUAGGUACGGUCGGAAAUCGUGCUGAUAGUGCAAAGGCAAAAGCGUGCUUGACUGCGAGACCGACAAGUCGAGCAGAUGCGAAAGCAGGUCUUAGUGAUCCGGUGGCUCUGUAUGGAAGGGCCAUCGCUCAACGGAUAAAAGGUACUCCGGGGAUAACAGGCUGAUACCGCCCAAGAGUUCAUAUCGACGGCGGUGUUUGGCACCUCGAUGUCGGCUCAUCUCAUCCUGGGGCUGUAGCCGGUCCCAAGGGUAUGGCUGUUCGCCAUUUAAAGAGGUACGUGAGCUGGGUUUAAAACGUCGUGAGACAGUUUGGUCCCUAUCUGCCGUGGGCGCUGGAAGAUUGACGGGGGCUGCUCCUAGUACGAGAGGACCGGAGUGGACGCACCUCUGGUGUACCGGUUGUCACGCCAGUGGCAUCGCCGGGUAGCUAUGUGCGGAAGAGAUAACCGCUGAAAGCAUCUAAGCGGGAAACUUGCCUGAAGAUAAGUCUUCCCGGAGGCUAGACCUCCCUGAAGAGUCGUUCGAGACCAGGACGUUGAUAGGUCGGGUGUGUAAGCGUUGUGAGACGUUUAGCUAACCGAUACUAAUUGCUCGUGAGGCUUGAUCCU